AGCUUUGCGCAGUGGCAGUAUGGUAGCCAAUGAGGCUUAUCCAAGGUGCAAUUAUUGCUAAUUGAAUU
Molecule: small nuclear RNA, 68 nt
Filed under: Canis lupus familiaris (dog)
Lineage: Eukaryota; Metazoa; Chordata; Mammalia; Carnivora; Canidae
Also listed under: 2 other names
Description: U4 spliceosomal RNA
Rfam family: U4 spliceosomal RNA
About the family: U4 small nuclear RNA (U4 snRNA) is a component of the major U2-dependent spliceosome.
Source: Rfam by way of RNAcentral